GAUGAACGCUGGCGGCGUGCCUAAUACAUGCAAGUCGAGCGAACGGACGAGAAGCUUGCUUUUCUGAUGUUAGCGGCGGACGGGUGAGUAACACGUGGAUAACCUACCUAUAAGACUGGGAUAACUUCGGGAAACCGGAGCUAAUACCGGAUAAUAUUUUGAACCGCAUGGUUCAAAAGUGAAAGACGGUCUUGCUGUCACUUAUAGAUGGAUCCGCGCUGCAUUAGCUAGUUGGUAAGGUAACGGCUUACCAAGGCAACGAUGCGUAGCCGACCUGAGAGGGUGAUCAGCCACACUGGAACUGAGACACGGUCCAGACUCCUACGGGAGGCAGCAGUAGGGAAUCUUCCGCAAUGGGCGAAAGCCUGACGGAGCAACGCCGCGUGAGUGAUGAAGGUCUUCGGAUCGUAAAACUCUGUUAUUAGGGAAGAACAUAUGUGUAAGUAACUGUGCACAUCUUGACGGUACCUAAUCAGAAAGCCACGGCUAACUACGUG
This 497-nucleotide ribosomal RNA is filed under the name uncultured bacterium. Its description in RNAcentral is "partial 16S ribosomal RNA". It matches the Rfam family "Bacterial small subunit ribosomal RNA", at positions 28 to 507 of the family's 1533-position model. The record is from RNAcentral.